This is a long non-coding RNA of Amblyraja radiata (thorny skate), 1710 nucleotides long. RefSeq lists it as uncharacterized. NCBI's taxonomy places the organism in Eukaryota, Metazoa, Chordata, Chondrichthyes, Rajiformes, Rajidae. The transcript has 8 exons. The record is from RefSeq and is a predicted model, not a curated record.
GACCCUUCUUCAGACUGAUGUUUCAGAUCGUGAUCCUUCUUCAGAAUUGGGUAUUUGGUCUUCUGGAAGUGUAAAUUUGAAUCUCCUGUUUUUCAGGACCUCUGGACUAAAUAGCUCCUGAAGUGAUUCUGGAAGUCACAGCUGCCCUUGCAACCUCUGCCAGUUUCACUUUACCAUCGCCAGGGAGCGAAGCCCUGCAUGUCCGGUGUCUUGCCAUGCGAACAACGUAAUGACGUGCAUGCGCACUGGCGGAUCUUCUUCACGGAAUCACUCACCAGGAAAGUUUGGAUUCCAAAGAUGUAACCCUACUAUGGUGGAAGUCACGAUCUGUUGGCUCAUCAUUUUAAAACUACGACUUGUUCAGAUCACUAGGACUGCUGAUCUAUCACCUGAGUGAAGGAGCUCUGGGUCAGAGAGCAGAAAUUUGCUAUACUGCUGAAGAGCUAAACCACUGCUACCCUUGUUCAGCCCUCCCAGGACCACGGACAAUGCAGCAACUUUCCCUUUUCUCUGCAACCUAUGUUCAUCCUUCCACUCUGUGCAUCCAGGUAUGAGAGGGACUGGAUUGUGCAGAAACUUGAAAUCGAGACUUGUUCUAUAUUAUUUUCUGAAGACUUCAGCAACUUUAAAGAACUCUGGGAAAGAAAAUCAAAGGUAAAUGUUUCGUUUGAUUUCUAAGCAAAUCUCCAGGACAGGUGGCGACUGUUGAUGGGCUUUGUACACAACCUCCAUGUAGGAGUGACCAGACCAAUCAAAACAACAAGUUGCUUUAGAAGCCUCAGUUUGCUCGGGGAUCUACGGGGAAUUACGUGCAACACAUCAUUUUUAGAGGUGCAAUAUUUUUACAAAUAAAAUGUGUGAUAUUACUACAGGUAUUUGCAAACCAAAAUUGGCAAAGCAAUUUUAUACAGAUGGUGAUGGUGCAAAAUACACAAAAUUCAUCAGGUAAUCAGAUCGACCCUGUAGCCUUUGUGUAAUAUUCACUAUUGGAUACAAGGAUUGAAGCAUUAGAUUAACUCAAAAACAGGAUUUAUUUUGGCAAAUAACAAGUCUUCAUGCAAGGAAAUUAAUAGAUUAUAAUGUGUGACAUGUUGCUUUAGAUUUUUUCUAUCAACAGUAAUGUGGAGAUGAAACUAUAUGUACCGCAGCUUGUACUCUACCUUUUAUAUAUGUUCCUGACAAUAAAGCAGUAUAAACUAAAAUACAUCUGCAGCAAACUUCUCUUCACAUUAAUUAAUGUCAGUGAUGGCUUAUUCCUAACUAGUGCAUGAGUGUAAGUGUAUAAUAUUGCAACCAUAUACCCUGAUGCAAGUGUUGAGGGAGUGAGGGGAAUUUCAUGCUUCCUGGUUAUCUCGGAGCAAUAGAUUCAGUCAUGAUUGGGAAUGAUAAUGGUGACAAUAUGCUCAGAAAAUAAUAGAGGAAGAAUAGAACAUAUAACACAGAACAGUCUGCUUUGAUCUGUUGUUUUCACACCUUGCCCCUCCAUAUCUCUAGACUACCCCUCGCCUGACUCACAGUCUGAAGAAGGGUCUCGACCUGAAAUGUCAUCCAUUCCUUCUCUCCAGAGAUGCUGCCUGUCCCGCUGAGUGACUCCAGCAUUUUGUGUCCAUCACUAAUUGACAUUGUUGGCUAAUAAGACAGGACACUGCAGCAAGGUCAGUCGUACAUCACACAGUUCAUAAACUAACAGGAAACCUAGUCAGGUGAACU